Molecule: ribosomal RNA, 428 nt
Filed under: uncultured bacterium
Lineage: Bacteria
Description: partial 16S ribosomal RNA
Rfam family: Bacterial small subunit ribosomal RNA
Source: RNAcentral
GUAGGGAAUAUUGUGCAAUGGACGAAAGUCUGACGCAGCGACGCCGCGUGAGUGAUGAAGGCCUUAGGGUCGUAAAGCUCUGUUGAAUGGGAAGAAAAAAAUGACGGUACCAUUCGAGGAAGGACCGGCUAACUUCGUGCCAGCAGCCGCGGUAAUACGAGGGGUCCUAGCGUUGUUCGGAAUCAUUGGGCGUAAAGGGUGUGUAGGUGGCCAUGUAAGUCAGGUGUGAAAGCCCCGGGCUCAACCCGGGAAGUGCACUUGAUACUGCGUGGCUUGAGUACCGAAGAGGGUAGUGGAAUUCCAGGUGUAGUGGUGAAAUACGUAGAUAUCUGGAGGAACACCGGUGGCGAAGGCGGCUACCUGGUCGAGUACUGACACUGAGACACGAAAGCAUGGGGAUCAAACAGGAUUAGAAACCCCAGUAGUCC